Molecule: ribosomal RNA, 253 nt
Filed under: uncultured bacterium
Lineage: Bacteria
Description: partial 16S ribosomal RNA
Rfam family: Bacterial small subunit ribosomal RNA
Source: RNAcentral
UACAGAGGUCUCAAGCGUUGUUCGGAUUCAUUGGGCGUAAAGGGUGCGCAGGCUGUGUGGUAAGUCGGAUGUGAAAUUUAGAGGCUUAACCUCUAAACUGCAUCUGAUACUGCCAUGCUAGAGGACUGUAGAGGAGAUUGGAAUUCACGGUGUAGCAGUGAAAUGCGUAGAUAUCGUGAGGAAGACCAGUGGCGAAGGCGAAUCUCUGGGCAGUUCCUGACGCUCAUGCACGAAGGCUAGGGGAGCAAACGGG